RNAcentral lists this ribosomal RNA (492 nucleotides) under uncultured bacterium. Its description in RNAcentral is "partial 16S ribosomal RNA". It matches the Rfam family "Bacterial small subunit ribosomal RNA", at positions 28 to 507 of the family's 1533-position model. The record is from RNAcentral.
GAUGAACGCUAGCUACAGGCUUAACACAUGCAAGUCGAGGGGAAACGACAUCGAAAGCUUGCUUUUGAUGGGCGUCGACCGGCGCACGGGUGAGUAACGCGUAUCCAACCUGCCCAUCACUUGGGAAUAACCUUGCGAAAGUAAGACUAAUACCCAAUGAUAUCCCACGAAGGCAUCGGAAUGGGAUUAAAGAUUUAUCGGUGAUGGAUGGGGAUGCGUCUGAUUAGCUUGUUGGCGGGGUAACGGCCCACCAAGGCAACGAUCAGUAGGGGUUCUGAGAGGAAGGUCCCCCACAUUGGAACUGAGACACGGUCCAAACUCCUACGGGAGACAGCAGUGAGGAAUAUUGGUCAAUGGGCGAGAGCCUGAACCAGCCAAGUAGCGUGCAGGAAGACGGCCCUAUGGGUUGUAAACUGCUUUUAUAAGGGAAUAAAGUGGGUCACGUGUGACUUUUUGCAUGUACCUUAUGAAUAAGGACCGGCUAAUUCCGUG